AUACGUAGGGGGCUAGCGUUAUCCGGAAUUACUGGGCGUAAAGGGUGCGUAGGUGGUUUCUUAAGUCAGAAGUGAAAGGCUACGGCUCAACCGUAGUAAGCUUUUGAAACUAAGAGACUUGAGUGCAGGAGAGGAGAGUAGAAUUCCUAGUGUAGCGGUGAAAUGCGUAGAUGUUAGGAGGAAUACCAGUUGCGAAGGCGGCUCUCUGAACUGUAACUGACACUGAGGCACGAAAGCGUGGGGAGCAAACAGGAUUAGAUACCCUGGUAGUCCACGCCGUAAACGAUGAGUACUAGCUGUCGGGGGUUACCCCCCUCGGUGGCGCAGCUAACGCAUUAAGUACUCCGCCUGGGAAGUACGCUCGCAAGAGUGAAACUCAAAGGAAUUGGCGGGG
Molecule: ribosomal RNA, 394 nt
Filed under: uncultured bacterium
Lineage: Bacteria
Description: partial 16S ribosomal RNA
Rfam family: Bacterial small subunit ribosomal RNA
Source: RNAcentral